GACAGAGGGUGCAAACGUUGCUCGGAAUCACUGGGCGUAAAGGGCGUGUAGGCGGGAAAGUAAGUCGGGCGUGAAAUCCCUAGGCUCAACCUAGGAACUGCACUCGAAACUACUUUUCUUGAGUGCCGGAGAGGAAAGCGGAAUUCCUGGUGUAGAGGUGAAAUUCGUAGAUAUCAGGAGGAACACCAGUGGCGAAGGCGGCUUUCUGGACGGUAACUGACGCUGAGACGCGAAAGCGUGGGGAGCAAACAGG
RNAcentral lists this ribosomal RNA (253 nucleotides) under uncultured bacterium. RNAcentral's name for it is "partial 16S ribosomal RNA". It matches the Rfam family "Bacterial small subunit ribosomal RNA", at positions 524 to 776 of the family's 1533-position model. The record is from RNAcentral.